This 91-nucleotide transfer RNA is filed under the name Clostridium tertium. Its description in RNAcentral is "tRNA-Gly(tcc)". Lineage: Bacteria; Bacillati; Bacillota; Clostridia; Eubacteriales; Clostridiaceae. The record is from RNAcentral.
GGCUUUUUACUAGGGAAUUUAAUAUUAAUUCCAUUAAUAAACGUUGUAGUUAUAUUAGGAAAUAUUAUAGUUCUAUUCUAUAAAAUACCUC